RNAcentral lists this ribosomal RNA (234 nucleotides) under uncultured bacterium. RNAcentral's name for it is "partial 16S ribosomal RNA". It matches the Rfam family "Bacterial small subunit ribosomal RNA", at positions 118 to 347 of the family's 1533-position model. The record is from RNAcentral.
UGAGCAAUCUACCUUUUUGUGGGGGAUAGCCGGCCCAACGGCCGGGUAAUACCGCAUACGAUCUUCGAGAGGCAUUUCUUGAAGAUGAAGCCUACGGGGCAAAAAGAGGAGCUCGCGGCCUAUCAGCUAGUUGGUGAGGUAAUGGCUCACCAAGGCAAUGACGGGUAGCUGGUUUGAGAGGAUGGCCAGCCACAUUGGGACUGAGAUACGGCCCAGACCUCCGUACGGGAGCAG